This 196-nucleotide ribosomal RNA is filed under the name uncultured Vibrionales bacterium. Its description in RNAcentral is "partial 16S ribosomal RNA". It matches the Rfam family "Bacterial small subunit ribosomal RNA", at positions 335 to 523 of the family's 1533-position model. Lineage: Bacteria; Pseudomonadati; Pseudomonadota; Gammaproteobacteria; Vibrionales. The record is from RNAcentral.
ACCCCUACGGGAGGCAGCAGUGGGGAAUAUUGCACAAUGGGCGAAAGCCUGAUGCAGCCAUGCCGCGUGUGUGAAGAAGGCCUUCGGGUUGUAAAGCACUUUCAGUUGUGAGGAAGGUGUGUAGGUUAAUAGCGCACAUCUUUGACGUUAGCUGCAGAAGAAGCACCGGCUAACUCCGUGCCAGCAGCCGCGGUAA